CGGAGCCGUCUAAUCUAUCACGUGCCCAGUCCGACCGUCCAAACCCUUCCUCGCCAUCCUCCGAAGUCCCACUGCCCGCUCGCCGCCGCCGGCACAAGCGCGAAGACUUCACCGCCUCUUCCAUUGCCCUUGCCACGCUCCGGCCACCGGCCUCCUGUCCUGUUCCCAAUGGGUCGCCUCCGGCGUGAGGCUUCUCCUUGAGCAUGCCUCUCACAUCAUCCCGGCCCCCGGCUACUCGCCCCGGCUUCCUGGCAGAAACCUAGGGGUAGCGAAAUCAUUGUAAAAGUCGGCUGGCUCUGGAGGAAGAGGCGAAAGACGGGUGCUGGGAGGAGUAGGACGUGAUUGCUGCAUCAAAAAGAUGAAAUUUCAUGUCAUAUGAUCAGAAAUUUCAUUUUGACUUUAUGUACUGCAGACUCACUGUUGUGUAGAAUGAACCUCCGGAAUAAUUGGAUUGAACAGCUGGUGCUCCUCUAGUAGCUUUGUCCUGGUACAGUUACAUACAUAACUGCAAUUAGCCAUUCUUGUAUGAAGAGUUCUUUUGUGUCGCUCUACUUACCGAAUUCACUUUCUAAGACUACCAACUCUUGCAACAGUACAAGUUUCUUAUCUUCAGUGCAGACUGCAGAGUAACUCAUCAGUAAUAAGAAAGAAGUAACUGAUGAGUUGAACACAAA
Long non-coding RNA from Brachypodium distachyon (stiff brome), 674 nucleotides. RefSeq lists it as uncharacterized. The record is from RefSeq and is a predicted model, not a curated record. NCBI's taxonomy places the organism in Eukaryota, Viridiplantae, Streptophyta, Magnoliopsida, Poales, Poaceae. The transcript is spliced from 2 exons.